RNAcentral lists this long non-coding RNA (760 nucleotides) under Helianthus annuus (common sunflower). The record is from RNAcentral. Lineage: Eukaryota; Viridiplantae; Streptophyta; Magnoliopsida; Asterales; Asteraceae.
AUGAAUUAUAUCUAGAACUUAUAUCAUAACCUCAAUACUUAUCAAUCUCACAUUCUAAUCUGAGUGUUCAUCAUAUUAACAUAAAAUCCACUUAGCACAUAAUAGGGUAAUUACCAAAUCCGUAGUUUUGACAACAAUUCAUCAAAUUUUCUACUAGGGUUUGUUUCUAAACCAAGAUAUAAUCACAAUAACACUCAUAGAUUCAACAUUCAUUCCAGAAUUUUGAUUAUGAUUGUUCAUCGUAAUCUCAAAGUAUCACCAAAUCAUAAAAUUCAACAUACCUUGUAAUCCCCAUGACUAGGUGAUCACGAAUUUGUAAACAUGCAGACGAUUUGGGUUUGAUUUGAGCUUCAAUUUGAGAGAUUUGUUGGAUUUAGGGCUAGAGCUCCAUGGGAGCUUUCUCCUGGCCAUCCUACGCACGCACACACACACUUUGUUAUGAAACACCGGAUCAAUGACGAACAUGAAACAUUGCACUUGAUUCAAGACAUGAAGAACAAAAUAUGAAGAACAAGAUAGAAAUAUGUAGAAGAUGAAUCUCUUUAUUGAUGAAUCAGUCAUCACAGAUUACAAAAACCAAAGGAGUAUACAUCAUCUAGAAGCUGGUUUAGAUCAUAAAGAUCUAAACCCUAGCUUUCUCUCACUAACACAUAGUCUCUCUCUCUAGAAUUCACACCAGGAGGAUGAACGAGUGGGAGAGGUGCACCCAGCUACAAGAGUUGCCCUAAUCUACACAAUACACACAUAUAUAUAGGCUAGG